Molecule: transfer RNA, 73 nt
Filed under: Neonectria ditissima
Lineage: Eukaryota; Fungi; Ascomycota; Sordariomycetes; Hypocreales; Nectriaceae
Rfam family: tRNA
About the family: Transfer RNA (tRNA) molecules are approximately 80 nucleotides in length. Their secondary structure includes four short double-helical elements and three loops (D, anti-codon, and T loops). Further hydrogen bonds mediate the characteristic L-shaped molecular structure. tRNAs have two regions of fundamental functional importance: the anti-codon, which is responsible for specific mRNA codon recognition, and the 3' end, to which the tRNAs corresponding amino acid is attached (by aminoacyl-tRNA synthetases). tRNAs cope with the degeneracy of the genetic code in two manners: having more than one tRNA (with a specific anti-codon) for a particular amino acid; and 'wobble' base-pairing, i.e. permitting non-standard base-pairing at the 3rd anti-codon position.
Source: Rfam by way of RNAcentral
GCUUGUGAAGCUCAAUUGGUUGAGCAGAACACUGAAGCUGUUUUGGUUGUAAGUUCGAGUCUUACCAUGAGCA